GCCCGGCUAAUUUUUUGUAUUUUUAGUAGAGACGGGGGUUCACUGUGUUAGCCAAGAUGGUCUCGAUCUCCUGACCUCGUGAUCCGCCCGCCUCGGCCUCCCAAAGUGCUGGGAUUACAGGCGUGAGCCACUGUGCCCAGCCUGUUUUAUUUUUUAAUAUAGCUCUGUAUGUGAAAUUCUGGGUUUGAUAGAGUAGUGAUACAUUUUUCUGAAACACAUAAAAUACACAACCAUCAAACAGUUUUCAUGCUUUACGUGAUUCUUCUACUACCUAAAUCACUUCCUAUUUUUCCCACUGACAGCUGUUGCUUUCCUCUCUCCCUAAAUUAAUUUUGGAGUAGGAUACACUUUCCUUUACUCUGCUCACCCGAAACCCAUUUAGGUUUUUAAACACUGUGUUUUUAUUUUUUAAAGUCUAUAAACCACAGAGAAUUAAAUGAGGAUUUAUAAAAAUGUAACAAGUAAUAAGAAACCUAGCUCAGAAGCUCUCAAAUUUUAAUGCUGUGUACACAAAACUAUGUAUGUAAUACUUUAUGAGUGACAAAGGAUUUAUUUUCAAGGAUGAAACUGAAUAUUUGAAUUUUGUCUCAUACACUAACAUUAGACCUGAAUUUUCAUAACAUCAAUGGUGUUGUGGGACUUAGGCUAUCAUUAAUAUUUCACUAGAUCCCACCACAAACAAACAUUCCCCUUCUGUUUCAGAGCUCCUGCUGAUAGCUGGAUGUUCUAGAAAAUUCCUGUUCCCAGUCUGAAUGGUGCCUCUGGUAGUUCUUGACUAAUUUGCAGAGCAGAGAUGAUUGGCAUUCCUGAGCCCCAAUGAAUGGGGCCUUUUUUAGGUCCUAGUUACCAAUACUUCCCAUCUCCCAAAAUUCUCUGAUUGCUCAUUUGUUUAUUCAUUUAUUCAUCUAUUUGUUCACCAAAUAUUUAUUUAGCACAUACCAAGUGCCAGGCAUUGUGUGGUCGUUUCAUUGUAUGGUGAUGAGCCAGGCAGAUAUGGUUUCUGGUUUUAACAAAGAGAUGUUUAACAAGAGUAUAACAGGUAGACCUGGUAUCUGUGGAGUCAGGGAAAGUUUCCAUGAGGAAGGGACAUUUAAACUGAGAUAAGAAGUAGCUGGAUGAAGUGGGGAGGAGGGCAUGUAGGUGUGAGGACCAUGGGUGCUGGAAUUUUGAAAAUGGUAAUCAACCACAGCAUGUGCAAAAGUCCUGCAGUGGGAAGGAACACGAUGGACUCUAGGUGAAUGAGAGAUUCAGAGAGUAACUGGAGAUGGUUCUGGAGACAUGGGCAGGGCCAAAUCACACAGGGUUUUGUAAGCCAUGUCAGAUAAGAAUUUUAAACUCUAUCUUAAGAUCAAUGGGAAGCCACUGAUAAGGCAGGAGAGUGGCAUAAGCAGGUUCAUAUUUUUAAAUGUCACUCUGUCUACACUGUGGAGAAUGGGUGGGAGGGGAAAGUAAAAGGAUGAAGGAAGACCAAUUAUAAGGACACAACAAAAGCACAAGUGAGAGAUGAUGUUGAGACCAGGAUAGUGGGGUCACGAUCAGGAUGGAGAGAAGCAGCCAGAUAUGAGAUCUUUAGGAAACAGAAUGAUCAGAAUUAUCAGGUGAUAGGUUAGAUGUGAGUGCAUGGAGAGGGUAAGGAGGCCAGGUAGAUUCCUGGGUUUCUCUUGAACAAUUAGGCAGACAAUGGGGUAAAGUUAGUACCGUUUGCUGAAUUAGGGUAGCCAGGAGCAGAAGCAGGUUUGUGAGAGAAAGAGAAGGUAGGGCUGCAUUAUUGCCAAGUAGAUAUCAAAGUGGAGGUGUCCAGUUUUACAAAAACGUCCUUUGUAGCUUAGGAAAGAGAUCAGGGCUGCAGACGUUAAGAUGGUUAUCUGCCAGUGCUAUCUAAAUAGGCAACAACAAUCAUUAUAAUAGUAUUCAAGGGGAAAAACUGGUAGCCUCUCACUGAGGCCCAAGAAAUCACAAGGCAUGAAUUCUCACAUUAAAAUGCUUGUUUCCAACUCACCAGGCUGUAUACAUUCAAUAUGUGUAGCUUUUGUAUGUCAAUCUUAGUUCAAUAAAGUAGUUUUUAACAAUAUGGUGCACAAGGUAAAAAGAAAUACUUGAUUUUCUUAUAUAAUAAUACACAACUUCAGAUAUCAAGGGCUUACAUAAACUAUGCCAAAAGAUUUAAUAAACAAUCAUCAUUAAGAUGACAUCCAAAAAGUUAUGGUCGUUUCAACCAGUCUAGUGGGAAACUCUGGGCUUUGACCUAGGAUUUUUGUUUCAGCUCCAAAGUGGUUGGGAAGAUUUUGUUUUCUUAAAAGCCAGCUUUCCUUGAACAAAGCUCCUGUUGCUUUCUGGAGUGCCUUAUAAAGAAUGCUGGGAACUGCUUAAAUAAAAAACUAAGGAAAUUCAAAGAAUACAGAAUUUUUGAAACAUCAAGCAGUGAAUAACUACUGUCCCUGGAAAAUUGGCAAAAUGGAAACAUGGCUUCAUGAACAAGAGGCCCAGGGACAGCUUCUCUGGGACAGUUCCAGCUCUGACUCAGAUGAGCAGGGGAAAGAUGAGAAGAAGCCACGAGCACUGGUGAGGACCAGGACAGAGAGAAUCCCACUUUUCGAUGAGUUUUUUGAUCAAGAAUAAGAAUACUAUUCAUUAACCUAGAAACUGAGUGCUUUGAAAGCUUGUUUUACUCUCAAAAUCUUCCAAACUGAUAUAUGAAUUACUUUGAGGACAGCAAAUCACUUUGGUAAAAAGAAAUGAUAUCUUUAGAGUCUUAUGAUUAACAAGUCCGUCACAUGUGCUGUUAACUAUUGCUGCAUAACUAAAUGCCUCAAAACACAGGGGCUAACCAAGAGCCAUUUUAUUGUCUCACUUUCCUGUGGGUUGCUGAGUUCAGCUAGGUGGUUCUUCUGCUGUUCCCUUUUGAAAUCUUUCAUGUCAUUGAAAUUGGACUACAUUUGGACUACUAAGACUGGAGUCAUCCAGAGGCCCCAUUAGGACACUGACACAGGGGGACCUUGCCCCCUAUCCAUGUAGCCUCAGAGCAUCUGCAUAUGAUCUCUUCAGCAGGACACUGCAGAGAUUUCUCUCAUAUGAGCCCAGGGCUCCCAAAAGCAAUUGUCUCAAGAGGAGGAAACAGAAGUUGCCAGUCUUCUUAAAAGCUAGUCAUAGAACUGACUUUGCAUCACUUCCACCAUGUUCUGUUGGUUAAAGUCAUAGACCAGCUUGGAGUUAAUGCAGAAGAGGACUACACAAGGGCAUGAGUGCCAAAGUGUGGUCCUUUGGGGUUCAUCUUUGACAUUUGCCACCUCACCAUGUUUUUAAAAAGAAAAUUAGAUUACAUAAAACAAAUAGAUGGGCUGGAUGUGGUGGCUCACACCUGUAAUCCCAGCACUUUGGGAGGCCGAGGUGGGCAGAUCACUUGAGGUCAGGAGUUCAAGACCAGCCUGGCCAACAUGGUGAGACACCGUCUCUACUAAAAUACAAAAAUUAGCCAGACAUGGUGGCAUUCGUCUGUAAUCCCAGCUACUUGAUGCGAAGGCUGAGGCAAAAGAAUUGCUUGAACCCAGGAGAUAGAGGUUGCAAUGAGCCAAGAUCACUCCACUGCACUCCAGCCUGGGCGACAGAAUGAGACUCUGUCUCAAAAUUAAAAAACAAAAAACCAAAAACAAAUAGAUGAAAAAGUAGACUGGAGACAAAUAAAAGUGAGUUUCUAAAGGAAAUUCACAGUAAUGCUGCAUUAAACACUAAGCUCACUUAGGUCACUUUCUAGUGAGCUAACCGUAACAGAGAGCCUACAGGAUACACGUGAGAUAAUGUCACGUGUAGAAGAUCGUUGUGAAUUAAAGUUCAAAAUUAAGACUUCUUAGAUUAUGAUGUAGAUUUUAGAGCUCCUUAAAACAUAAAGCGAAUCUUAUAAAUGUUCAAUUCUAAAGUUAUUCCACUUGGAAAAAUUAGCUUUUGGGACAAUUUUUAAGAACUUUUGUGUAAAAUGCAGCUCCAUGUUUAGCAUAAUCUAAAAAUAAUUUCAAGCAAUCCAGAAUCUUCCAAGAAUUUAUUAAAGCUUUAAAACAAAGCAAAACAAAAAGACCCUUUUGUGCCUUAUAUGGGAAGACUCCAAAAACAGAAAAAAAUAGAGGAAAACACCACUUCAAUUUGACAUUCAAUGCAUUCACAUCAGAAACUAAGAAGAUAACAAGCCUGAGAUGUCAGGUGAUAAAAAUUCAUGUUUCUUCCAAGGACAGAAGGCUAUUAGAUUGUCCCAGGCCAUAUCUAUUCCCAGUUCUUUGUGAGUAGUCUUCUUACUUUUUCUGUGGUAGGUAAGAAGCAUAUUUCCACCAAAAGAAAGCAUGCAUUGUUUGACUAGCCAGCUUUCUAGAAAAAAUGAGAUCCUUGAGAGGAUAAACAAAUCCAACCUAUUCAUGGUGUCCUCACUUAUUGUGGUCAAUUUGGAAGGCUUAAAACACAAAAAAUGGGAUGGAUAACUUUGAACACUAAAAUUAGUGGAGCCAAAGGCACGUCUUCACCAUUCUGUUAUGUGACUUAAAAUUCAAUUUCACGAAACCCACUUCCACAAGCUUAAUGAACUGUGAGCUACAUGAGGGCAUAAACCAUGUCUUCUUUGUAUGGUAUUUCUGCUUCCUAGCAGGACAGCUGGCAAAGAGUUUAUCAUUAAAUGUUUGCUGAAUUAAUGA
Molecule: long non-coding RNA, 4673 nt
Filed under: Homo sapiens (human)
Lineage: Eukaryota; Metazoa; Chordata; Mammalia; Primates; Hominidae
Description: HSALNT0211579
Source: RNAcentral